This is a long non-coding RNA of Bufo gargarizans (Asiatic toad), 317 nucleotides long. RefSeq lists it as uncharacterized. The record is from RefSeq and is a predicted model, not a curated record. NCBI's taxonomy places the organism in Eukaryota, Metazoa, Chordata, Amphibia, Anura, Bufonidae. The transcript is spliced from 3 exons.
GAGAUUUACACUUCCCUAUCUCCAGGCCAUGGACAGGUGAGGCAGAAUGAUCCCUAUCUACAAGGCUUUUCCAGGCAGAGGACAACCACGACACAUUGCGAGCGAAGCAGAAGUCUGGAGCUGGAGGCAGAAGCGUUUUUAGCAGAUUCUGGAAGAAAGUGAAGACCAGGAGGUCGAAAACCUUCAGAGACCAACCUCUGUGAUAAACAAUGAGAAGCUGCUCCCCAUGCCCUGCCAUGCAGACCACGGGCCCGAGAAGGCUAAAGAUCUCCUUCUGAACUCCACCUACAGUGAAGAUGCGAACUAAUAAGGCAUUU